RNAcentral lists this ribosomal RNA (301 nucleotides) under uncultured bacterium. RNAcentral's name for it is "partial 16S ribosomal RNA". It matches the Rfam family "Bacterial small subunit ribosomal RNA", at positions 509 to 807 of the family's 1533-position model. The record is from RNAcentral.
CAGUAGCCGCGGGAAUACGGAGGAUCCAAGCGUUAUCCGGAUUUAUUGGGUUUAAAGGGUGCGUAGGUGGCCUGUUAAGUCAGGGGUGAAAGACGGUAGCUCAACUAUCGCAGUGCCUUUGAUACUGACGGGCUUGAAUGAACUAGAGGUAGGCGGAAUGUGUCAAGUAGCGGUGAAAUGCAUAGAUAUGUCACAGAACACCAAUUGCGAAGGCAGCUUACUAUGGUUUUAUUGACACUGAGGCACGAAAGCGUGGGGAUCAAACAGGAUUAGAUACCCCAGUAGUCCCUGUCUCUUAUAC